Molecule: ribosomal RNA, 511 nt
Filed under: uncultured bacterium
Lineage: Bacteria
Description: bacterial SSU rRNA
Rfam family: Bacterial small subunit ribosomal RNA
Source: RNAcentral
AACGAACGCUGGCGGCGCGCCUAAUACAUGCAAGUCGAGCGAGAAGGUGUAGCAAUACACUUGUAAAGCGGCGAACGGGUGAGGAAUGCAUGGGUAACCUACCCUCGAGUGGGGAAUAACUAGCUGAAAGGUUAGCUAAUACCGCAUACGUUUCCGGAACUUCGGUUUCGGAAAGAAAGCAAUACCGUGGGUAUUGCGCUCCUGGAUGGGCUCAUGUCCUAUCAGCUUGUUGGUGAGGUAACGGCUCACCAAGGCUUCGACGGGUAGCUGGUCUGAGAGGACGAUCAGCCACACUGGCACUGCGACACGGGCCAGACUCCUACGGGAGGCAGCAGUAAGGAAUAUUGCGCAAUGGACGCAAGUCUGAACCAGCCAUGCCGCGUGAAGGAUUAAGGUCCUCUGGAUUGUAAACUUCUUUUAUCUGGGACGAAAAAGGACGAUUCUUCGUUCACUUGUACGGUACCAGAUGAAUAAGCACCGGCCGUAACUUACGUUGCCAGCAGCCGCCGCG